UGGGGAAUAUUGGACAAUGGGCGCAAGCCUGAUCCAGCAAUGCCGCGUGUGUGAAGAAGGCCUUCGGGUUGUAAAGCACUUUUAUCAGGAGCGAAACGCUGUCGGCUAAUACCCGGCGGAACUGACGGUACCUGAGGAAUAAGCACCGGCUAACUUCGUGCCAGCAGCCGCGGUAAUACGAAGGGUGCAAGCGUUAAUCGGAAUUACUGGGCGUAAAGCGUGCGUAGGCGGUUUCUUAAGUCUGCUGUGAAAUCCCCGGGCUCAACCUGGGAAUGGCAGUGGAUACUGGGAGGCUAGAGUGUGUCAUGAGGGUGGUGGAAUUCCCGGUGUAGCGGUGAAAUGCGUAGAGAUCGGGAGGAACAUCAGUGGCGAAGGCGGCCACCUGGGACAACACUGACGCUGAGGCACGAAAGCGUGGGGAGCAAACAGGAUUAGAUACCCUGGUAGUCCACGCCCUAAACGAUGCGAACUGGAUGUUGGUCUCAACUCGGAGAUCAGUGUCGAAGCUAACGCGUUAAGUUCGCCGCCUGGGGAGUACGGUCGCAAGACUGAAACUCAAAGGAAUUGACGGGGUCAUAGCUGUUUCC
RNAcentral lists this ribosomal RNA (587 nucleotides) under uncultured bacterium. RNAcentral's name for it is "partial 16S ribosomal RNA". It matches the Rfam family "Bacterial small subunit ribosomal RNA", at positions 355 to 937 of the family's 1533-position model. The record is from RNAcentral.